CCCACCGCACCCUCCCUCCUUCCCAUCUCUCUCUCUCCCCCCGGUCUCCCACUUCGGCGCCGGCCCUGGCCCCUCUGCGGCGGCGCAGCCCCGCCCUGCCCCUACACCCCCUGCGGAGGAGCAGCGCGGGCGCGCGGCCCGUCCCCUGCUCCCUCCCUGGCGCCGUCGGGAGCGGCGGCGCGGCGUCGGGCGGCGUCGCUGUCGGGUAGCGGCGGCGUUGGCAUCGGGUGCGCCUCCUCCUCCCCGGCCUCCUUCUCCCUUGCGCUGGUGUGCCGCCGCCGGCAUCCGCAUUCAGUCGCGCCCUGCUGCGUUGUCGCCUCCCUCCCCGACCUCCCAAUCCCCUCCCUCGCCUGCUCUCUCUCUCUCUCUCUCUCAUCACACACGGCGGCGGAGCGGCGCGCGGCGGGGGAGCGGCGCGCGGCGGCGGACGGACUGCGGCGGCUGGGGAGUGGCGACUGGUGGCGGAGCAUGGGUCACGGUGGCCGACGGUCCUCUCUCUCCCCACUCGGCGGCCGGGAGCACGGGCCCCGCGCCACAUCGGUGUGUACCGUGCCUCCUCUACUAGCGCUCGAUUUGGCGUUUAGAGGCCAAUACGGGAGGAUGGCAGAUGUGUUAGCAUAGUCCGGUGGGGCUUUUUUACAGCAAAACCGUACUGCAGGACGAGGUAGUGGAGGGCUCCCCGUCCCCAAUGCGGAUAGCCUUAAGGAUGUAACUUGUAAGUCAGCUAAUUAAUUAUGAUGAUAUAUCACUCUACUCCAUUUCUCCUCCUAAAUUAAUAUACACAGAAUGUCCUUCUAGUUUAUUUUAUCAACUUUUUAAAUCAACCUAAAAUAUAUAACUUACAUCACUAAGUACUAUCAGCUGCUCUUCUGAUACACCCAUUAGCAGAUAGCACCAAUAGCACGACUAUCCGGCGGGUCGCGAGUCGGCUGCCUGCUCCAAACUCGUCCAAGCCACGUGUGCUGCACAAGAACGUAGAGAGGGUAACCAUCACAAUGGAGGUACGCCUAUAGUCACACAGAACUAGGAUUUCCCUGUUUCUGGAACUUUAAUUUGUCCAAGAACAGGAGAUGGAAACGAAACGGGAGUACGGGACACGGCCUGAUUAGGAAGCAAAGACGGAGUGCUUUGCCCCCAGCUACCCAUGGAACAACAGAGACCUCGCCUUCCCAUUGUCUGGUGCGGCGAUCUAGUGAAGUCUGCAGCGGCGCGGCUGCCAUCUGGGCGUCGGCGUUGAGUAGCCAAGAGGAGAAGACGAACGCCACAAGAGCCUGUUGGCCGGAAGCACAGGCGAAUUAGCUCCUAUUUGAUGAGUGAACAAUGGAUGUACAACGCCAACUGGCGUUCGUUGGAGCUUAUUAUUGGUGUGCAUGAAUUCAUCGAAGCGGCCAAGAAACACAAGUACGACGGUUUUGUUCAUUGUCCAUGCAAAUUAUGAGAGAACGAGUAGGAUUACUCCUCAACAAGAAACAUCCACAGUCACUUGUUCGCAAGCGGUUUCAUGCCCAAGUACAAUGUUUGGAUCGAGCAUGGAAAAAGAGGGAUUAUGCUAGAGAAUGAUGAAGAAGAAGAGGAGAGCAUUCCUAAUUUUGUGGAUGAUUACGGUGCAUUCUUUGAAGAUACUGCAAUAGGUGAUGUUGGUGUUUUACCACCAAGCUCUCCGAGGGAUACUCCGAGGAGAUUAAUUGUAGGCAGGGACUCGACAAGAUCAUAACGCAAUGGUGCAAGGAGCACAAAAAUUUAGACAGGUUCAGGCCGUUAGAGCGUAAUAUCCUACAUCAUGUGUGGUGGUUUGUAUUGGCUUAUAUGAUGCGUAUGUUUUGGAGGAGUCCCUGCCCACCCUUAUAUAGUUUGGGGGGGACAGGGUUACAUGGAAAGUCAUAGCCUUAUACUAACAGAGUCCUACUCCAUCAUGGUCGGGUAGUUUCCUUGUAUAUCAACUAGUGCUACUGCUGUACGAGUAGUUACAAAGAGGUAAGGUACAUUUCAUACGCUAUCCUUACUCUAGAAUAUUCCAUGCCCGUGAGCAAUCCUGCUACCCUAGGUCUGACAAGCCCCUGAGCUCUUUGUAGUUGAGUCCUGCAGGCGUCAAGUACUUCGAAGACAUUGUCGAGUGCUUCGAGUGCUCCUAGAAUCCUCCUAUUCUUCGUUGAGUGCUUCGAGUAGUCUUUCGAGUACUUCCUUGGCUGCAUCGAGGCUAUGAGAUGCUCACACCCCAAAUCAUCUUCUUUUAUAUGGUGCAUGAUGAACUCGCGCUCCAUAUGGAAUAGCCCCCGAGCCUUAGGUUGAAUCGCAGAAUCAGACUGAGGGUCAAAUCAGUCUCCAAGAAAUCUUUCAAAUCUUCAUUUGCCAUUCAAAUCAUCUUUGAAAAAUAUGCCUUUUAUAGUUUUAUGCCACACAUCCCGUAGCCCCCAAGCCUUAGAACGAAAUCCCAUAGAUUUGGAAUUAAGAAUCUAAAAACCGUGGCUUACAGGAAAUAUUCCUUAUAAAAAAAAUUCAUAACAAUCAAUCCGAAAUAUCUGAUAACCUCUUUUUUCGGAACCGAAUCCCAAAAAAAUGAUCAACCUUUCCUUCAAAAAAAAUGAUCAACCAGAUAAUCGUUCACAAGAAUCCUUUAAUUACUGCUCAAAAAUAAUUCUUAACUGGCACGUGUCUCUUCGACUUAUCCUUAUUAACAUGAAUGCCACUGACUAGGUUAUUUAACCAUUCGGUAAAACCAGGGUUAGCACAUUCUCUUACUUGUGUAGUUGAAUCUGCCGCCUCUGUCAUUGUUUCCCUCUUUCGUUCUUGAGAAACUAGUCACUACUAGCCCCCGAGCGCGGCAACAAGAAGGAACUCCCCUCAUUCAGAUGGCACCCAAGAAGAGUCUGAGCAAGGGAAAGGAGAAACCCAGCGGAGUAGGAAGCCCAACCGAGAUUGAAGGAUGGAGAGCAAGUAAGUGCUCUGACUUCCAUCUUCUUGGUCUUGUCGAAGAAAAACUCCUCCAACCUCGUGAAUUAAUCCAUUGGCGUAAUGCCCUAGGAGAUGUUCCUCCGCAUGAAGGAGACCAGGAAACCAUUGUUUUUAAAGAUUAUAUCUUGCGUGGUUUCGGGAUUCCAAGUUUUGAUUUUUUCCACGGACUUCUUUUCCAUUGCGGCAUUCAAGCACACCACUUGAACCCAAAUUCCAUUCUCUACAUCUCCAUCUUUGUUCACCUGUGCAAAACAUUUCUGGGAAUCGAACCCCAUUUCGAUUUAUUUCAAUAUUUUUUUCCAUCUAAAGCCCCAACCCAGUGUCACAGAAGUAGAUGUAGUUGGAGGGGCCAAACUUCAGUUGUGCCAGGGUCUAGGGAUGAAGUAUAUCCCUUACAAACUGUCGUACAAAGUUAUUGACUGGAAAGAUUUCUGGUUUUAUGUUGAAAACCAAACACCAGCACUCCCAGAUAGAAUUCUAGGACCCCCAACUCCAAAGGCCAGUUGGAAUCCGAAGGGUCAAAAUCUUGCUCAAAUUAAUGAUUUGAUCGGCAAGAUUGAGCACUUGAAGAAGAAAGGCUUGACCGGCACAUCAGUAAUGAUGAACUGGAUCUAUCGGCGCAUCCAGCCGCUGCAACAUCGAGCCAAUUUUGGAUUUCUCUAUGCUGGAGAUGAUGAUCCAGGACACUUGACCAUCGACAAGAUUACUGAAGCAGAUGCUUUGCAUCGGGUAUGUCGAGUACUUGAGGAGUAUUCGAGAUCCCAAAAUUUGUGAAAGAUUUUCGACUAAACAAGCGUCCUCGUGAGAUAAACCCAGAUAAUUAUUAAAGUAGGCCUCCACUCCCUAAAGUUGUGCCUGCUGCACAAGUUAACCCAACAGAUCCGUCUGGGGGAGGAGAUGGCGAUGAUGGGAGCCGAACAAUGGCUGCCCAAGAAGAUUCCGCAACGAGUGGAUCUCGAGUUGCAUCGCCAGAGACGCGUGAACGCAUGGCGUCAUCAGCUGGUUGCGACAAAAGCCUCCCAAGUGAGAAGCACACGCGUGGUUCCACAGUUUCUGCCGCCGCUAGUCCAGGUGUGUCCGCGGCUGGCUCUGGAGGCGUGGCCAAGGAACAGAACUCCUCGGGAUCUAUUAUAAUCCCGAAAUUAUUGCGACCGAGGAAGUUACAGGUUAAGAGAUUGUGCCACAAGGCAGCUGACCUUAGUCUUGAAGACUUGGGUCCAACCUCAGUUUCCAAACCAGUCGAGGAGACUCCCACAACCUUGGAACAGCCGAAGAGCAUGCCCGCUCCGAUGGAACCAGGAGUUGAAAAGACUCCCUCGACUGAACCAGUGGAGAUUGAGGUGGAGAAGACCACAGGCGCCUCUGUUGAUUUGCAGUCGACAGAUCAAGAGAAGGUCACCGAUAUAGCCCCGGAAGUCGAGCAGUCGACUCACGAGAAUCUGCAAGAAGAACCAAAGCUGCCGGUGGAAGGGGCAAAAUUAUAUGAAGAAAAAAUUCUCGAGUUUUAGAAAUUUUUGAGUGAACUAGCCGAACAAGCCGCUGCCAAGGCUCAAGCGCUGCAACAAGCUGGAGAAGGUCUGCGAUUGUCCGUGGAUCAGGAGCGUCAACUCCAAGAAAUCACAGGUCUUCGAGGAGAGCUUGAGAAGCUAAAGGCAGAUCAUGAGAAGGAAACAGAUUCCCUGCAGAAACAAGUUGAUAGCCUUGGAAAAGACAAUAGUUCUCUAUUGGAGAGAAAUAAGUUUCUGCAGGAGAAGAAUAAGAAAUUAUCCAAGGAUCAUAAAGAUGCUGUGGAGAAGCUAACCAAGAUCCAAGCGGAUACAGACAAGCAACUUGUCUAGAACAUGAAGCAAAUCAAGGACUUGGUAGCUGAAAGGGAUCUUCAAGCUAAAGAACUAGCCGAUCUUAAGGCGGUGGUGCAAGAAGUAGGUCGAGCCCGUCGAAGAUGGUGGCGCCGGUGAUAGGACUUUGGUGGAGCGUCUUUGCGAGGCUCCUCAAAAGAUUGCUGGCUUCCUGUCCAAGACAUCGAGGCAGUAUAUGGAGCACGUCUUGGGGUUAGUUAAGUCUUACUGGCCUGGAGUUAACCUUGCUCCAAUUGGCGACGGGUUAGCUGAGGGAUGCUCAGACGAGAAAUUCGCUGAGUAUGUCGAGGAAGUGAAGCCCAUUGCCAAUAAGAUUGUUGAUGUGUUGGAGCAGCCUUCGGAUGGAGAAGCUUGAACAUGUUUGUGUCUUUGAACUUAUUGUAAUGCAAUGAUUCGUCAUUUGUGAACACAUUUGUCCAUCAGUGUAACAGAUACUUUAUGUCUUGUGUUGAACGAGUUAUGUUGAGACGUCACUUAUAUCUGUUUUUGUGGCCA
This is an RNA transcript of Panicum virgatum (switchgrass), 5306 nucleotides long. RefSeq lists it as uncharacterized. NCBI's taxonomy places the organism in Eukaryota, Viridiplantae, Streptophyta, Magnoliopsida, Poales, Poaceae. The record is from RefSeq and is a predicted model, not a curated record. The transcript has 9 exons.